RNAcentral lists this ribosomal RNA (483 nucleotides) under uncultured bacterium. RNAcentral describes it as "partial 16S ribosomal RNA". It matches the Rfam family "Bacterial small subunit ribosomal RNA", at positions 28 to 507 of the family's 1533-position model. The record is from RNAcentral.
GACGAACGCUGGCGGCGUGCUUAACACAUGCAAGUCGAACGCUGAAGCUCAGCUUUUGUUGGGUGGAUGAGUGGCGAACGGGUGAGUAACACGUGAGUAACCUGCCUCCUUCUUUGGGAUAACGCCCGGAAACGGGUGCUAAUACUGGAUAUUCACUGUUCUUCGCAUGGGGGUUGGUGGAAAGGGUUUUUCUGGUGGGGGAUGGGCUCGCGGCCUAUCAGCUUGUUGGUGGGGUGAUGGCCUACCAAGGCUUUGACGGGUAGCCGGCCUGAGGGGGUGACCGGUAACAUUGGGACUGAGAUACGGCCCAGACUACUACGGGAGGCAGAAGUGGGGAAUAUGGCACAAUGGGCGCAAGCCUGAUGCAGCGACGCCGCGUGAGGGAUGGAGGCCUUCGGGUUGUGAAACUCUGUAGCUAAUGGUCAAGCCGCAACAAUGGUUGUGGUGAGGGUAGUGGGUAAAGAAGCGCCGGCUAACUACGUG